GCCCCCUCGGGGGCGAGGCGGCGGCGGGAGCGGGAAUGGGGCCGGGAGUCAGCGGGUUGCGUGAGGUACUGGGAGAGACUCUUCGCCGUGAGGGCCCUGAGACACCAGAACACGUUUCCCACAGACGCUGUGGAUGCCCCGUCCUUGACAGCAUUCCCGUCUGGUUUGGCCGGUGCUCUGAGCUGCCUGGUCCCGUGGAAGGGUAUCCCUGCGCAGGGAAUUGGAACUGGGUGAUUUUUAAGGUCUCUUCCGACCCAAGCCAUUGUGUAAUUCUAUGAAAGGCGUUGCUCCGCUUAACUUGCCUUUCCAGGUGAUUUGAGCAGUCGUUUAUGCCAUCAUUUUUCUCACACCGGACCCUCACUUCUUUCAGAUAGUUGUAAAAUCUGCAGACAUCCCUAGCGCUGGAAUCUGAGUCUGGGUGUCAGUGCUCCCCAGAAUUUGGAUAAGACACUUGAAAUCAUGAAGUGGAUUUUUACUCUUUUGUUUAUUGCCUUUUCACAGAUUCGCAUAAUAUUCUGAGUUGGAAGGGAUCCACAAGGAUUCUCGAGUCCAGCUCUUAAGUAAGUGGCCCGUAUGGGGAUUGCACCCACCACCUUGGUGUUAUCAGCACUGUGUUCUAACCAACAGCAACUGCAGAACGUUAACAAAUUUCACUACAAAUACCAAUGUAUUCAAUGAACCCACACGUCACCAUGAGGACAUCACAACAUCCCAGCUGUAUACUGCUUUGCUUGAGGAUUUUGAAGCCCACAUUUCCUGGUCUGGUGCAAAUAUUUCUGGUGGAGUCAUACAGGUGCAAACUCUGCCAUUUAACAAGCAGGAUUAAAAGUAAGAUCGGGAUACACUGGCUGAAAUGCGUGAAACUGAUACGGCAUGUCAAAUUCCAGGUUGCCCUGAAAUGGACCAAGGUAAAAAUGAGUUAUAUAGCAUUGGAGAUGAAAAAAAUGAAAUCAAAGAAAAUCUUGCAAAAAAAUUACUGUCUUGUUGCCUGUGUAUCAGCCUUAAAAUAACACUCCUUGCUGUUGUGACGUAAGCCCAAACUUGAUCCUCAUGUGUCUCACUCCUGUGAAAUGAGCACCAUGUUUGCAGAAGUAGCUUAUUUUUAACUUCAGGAACCCUGCAGUGCUGACUUCUCUUCAAUGUUCCAAGAGAAAGGACAGAUAACUCCAGUCUGUGCCUCUUUAGUGUCUGUCAAGUUUCCAGCAUUAGAACCCAGACAUUUGCUGGGGAAAUUAAAAUACUCAAUCAAGAUGUGAACAUCAUAAGAAAAUCAGUUGAAAGCUUUAUCUAAAGGCUCAAUUCACCCUGUGGAAGAUACUUGUGCCUUUAAGCUGGGUUCUGAGAGAAAGCAGCAUUUCUGAAUGUGUGGAAUGUAGCACUGGAGCUGAAAGAUGCUGAGAAAAUCAAUUUAAAGAGUCAUAAUGUGGAUCAUGGCUUUGAAUGUGUUUAUUGUCACAUGACUGAGUAGAUCUUAAUGGAAAAUCAUUGAAAAUCACACAUGUGGAUAAAAGAAACCUACCAGUGCUUCAUCUGUGAAAGUGCUUUUACAUCACUUUAUAAAGUGCCUGGAACAGAAAGAGCCAUCAGAGGAAGCUUCAUCUCAGUGCACAUCGUCUGAAACUGAGCAGAUAAGCAAUCUUCACGACGCUUGCUUGGCAUUAUCAGGAUAUGGUUACGUGCCCACACAGUGAUUUUACCAGUGUUUAAUUCCAUGAAAGGAAGUUUUACUGUAAAAUUCUAUUGUAACAAACUGUGGCUUUUAAACAACUAAGGACUAGAUCAAGGUCUGCAAGCAUCUGUGCAAUCACAGAUAUUUUGAUUCCAAAAAUGAAUCCUAAAACUUGUCAAAUGUUGAAAAGACAGCAAAACUACCACCAAAAAAAAAAAUAAAAAUUAAGAGGACUCUCAAUACAGGUCAAAAAGCCAAGCACUCCUCUGUGUUGGUCCUGUGACAUACAGACCCUUUAGAGUUACUGGCUUCAGCUCCAUCACAACAUCCUUACAUGUGUUGGUGGUGUCUUGACUGAUCCAUGCUGGUGUACACUACAUUGGAGAGUUAGGUUAAAAAAACCCCAAGCAACACAACAAAUGAACAAACAAAAACCAACUCAAACAAAUGACUGUUCUUGAGAAGCUCUAUUAUAUGUGUGUUUCACAAACUUAGCACAGAAUGAGGAGGAGGUUUAUUUUCUCUACAAUUUUGUGUCACUUGAAAGUUUCAUAUCUCAGAUUUUUAAGUCUUUCCAUCAUUGAUGACAUUAUAAAAUAUUGGUAUAGUGUAUUUUGGGUUUCUUUUUGAAUUAGUUUAUUUAGCUUAUUUCUUAUGUGGCAAUCCAGAGAAGAGUUGAAGGAGCAUAUGGAAAACUACAGAACUGCUACCCUCUUUUGUCCUCAUUUUGGGAUCAAGUAUUCAAAACCAGAUAUCAGUUGAGUGGACAUCAAAAACUAAUCCAUCAUGAAGAAACAACAAACCCACAAAUGAAAGAGAGGAAGAGAAGAAAGAAGCCUGAAGAUCAUCCUGUGUGUUUCAACAAAAAAGCAACUUGGAAAGAAGGAUUUAAGCUAGUUUAAAUGCAGUAUGUACAGUAGGUAUGAUCUGUAUUAUAGCAAAACUUGCUAUUUUGUUUCUUAAUUGCAGAAUAUUUGGUAAUCUGGCAGAUUUAUUUAUUUGCUUAUGUAUUUUUAUACAAAAGUUGCUCUUAGAUAGCCUGAACAAAAAUUAAAAUAGCUACCUUCUUGAUUUGUGAUAGUACCAGUUUUUGCAAUCAAUUAAGCAUGUGCUGAUCAAAAGAUGCAGCUAAAGUUUUCUGCUUUAGUUUGUUAAAGGUAAUAACAAAAUACAGC
Oenanthe melanoleuca is the source of this 2844-nucleotide long non-coding RNA. RefSeq lists it as uncharacterized. The record is from RefSeq and is a predicted model, not a curated record. The transcript has 7 exons. NCBI's taxonomy places the organism in Eukaryota, Metazoa, Chordata, Aves, Passeriformes, Muscicapidae.